Molecule: long non-coding RNA, 559 nt
Filed under: Malus domestica (apple)
Lineage: Eukaryota; Viridiplantae; Streptophyta; Magnoliopsida; Rosales; Rosaceae
Description: long non-coding RNA (MDOM_LNC016934)
Source: RNAcentral
AAACUAUCCCGAGGUCUUUAACGAACUUAUUCGUUUGAUUAAUUAACAUAUUAAUUAAUCCUUGCCACAAAUAAAUGAUUAAACCAUUUAAUCAUUCUUACUCAUCUCCAUUGUUUCUUCAAUCUCCACCUUACACGGUGUGCGAUCCAUUAGGUUCCUUUUAGCGAGGCAGUGGGUGAUUAAAACCAUUUUACAUCGAUUGUGAAUUGAAACUUACUUUCAAUUCUCCCUUUAGUGAUUACACACGUUUAGGGCUUCCACAAACCAUGAGUGACACCUUGCAGCAUAUCAUGGUUACCCAAGCUAAUCAGAAGAGGUAGAGAAAACCUAUUCAGUUUGCGAUUACAAAUGCAAUACGGUCUUUCUCUAAUCUAAUACUCCUGACCACAUUGUUUGGUUUGAUAGUUUAUUUAUUCAUGUCUACUAUCCAAUGUGAUUCGUGUACUUAUAUGAUUUCCUUGAAUGUGAUUCGGAACGCAUUCCCAAAUCUCAUUCAUACUCUGGCCAGAGAUUCUAAAUCAUAUCAUAGAGUAUUCUCCCUCAAACAGUUUGAAGGUUA